RNAcentral lists this ribosomal RNA (83 nucleotides) under Onchocerca volvulus. Lineage: Eukaryota; Metazoa; Nematoda; Chromadorea; Rhabditida; Onchocercidae. The record is from RNAcentral.
GAUCUGUCAAGUUGAAUAGUUUUUUGGGCCUGUUAGUAUUUGACUCUAAGAUAGCUUGGAAAUUCCUCGAGUUAUAGGCACAU